GCCUGGGUUGGCUCAGUUGGUUGAGCGUCCGACUUCAGCUCAGGUCAUGAUCUCACAGUUCGUGGGUUCGAGCCCCACGUUGGGCU
This is a non-coding RNA of Felis catus (domestic cat), 86 nucleotides long. NCBI's taxonomy places the organism in Eukaryota, Metazoa, Chordata, Mammalia, Carnivora, Felidae. The record is from Rfam.